RNAcentral lists this long non-coding RNA (614 nucleotides) under Cricetulus griseus (Chinese hamster). Its description in RNAcentral is "lncRNA (ENSCGRG00015038070.1)". The record is from RNAcentral. Lineage: Eukaryota; Metazoa; Chordata; Mammalia; Rodentia; Cricetidae.
GUUUGUUUUGUUUUUGAAACAGGGUUUCUCUGUGUAACAGUCCUGGCUGUCCUGGAACUCUGUAGAUCAAGCUGGCCUGGACCUCACUGAGAUCUGCCUGCCUCUGCUUCCCAAGUGCUGGGAUUAAAGGGAAUUUCACUGACUAGGUUGAAGCCUAAACAAGGAAGCAAGCUUGGCCAUAGAAUGCUUGAUCAGAAGCGGCUGUUUGUUUUAACGAGUAUUUUGGAAACUCUUGGAAGUUGUCUCUCGUGUUUGUCCUGUACAGCCGAUGGGGUGCCUGGCAUCUGAAUUCUCUCCAGCACUUGCCACGUCUUCAUUUGCUGAAAAGAACUCGGAGGGGGUUUUCUGCAUAUCCCCCACCGUUCUGGAACUCACUUGCUCUGUAGACCAGGUUGGCCUCGAACUCAGAAAUCCGACUGCCUCUUCCUGGUGAGCUAAGAUUAAAGGCUUGCACCACCAUGCCCCGCUGAAAGCCUCAUUUUCAAGUAAACGGUUUUGGUGGCAUCCAAAGAAGGAUGGAAGUAAGACCCAAGGGGAGACUUCAGGCAAGUUAUAGGAGAAACCUACGGGAGAGAAUGGGAUGGGGGAAGCAAUGGCUUCCCGGCCAAGGGCCA